GUGCUUGCUUCCACAGCACAUAUGCUAAAAUUGGAACAAUACAGAGAAGAUUAUCAUAGCCCCUGCACAAGGGCAACAUGCAAAUUUGUGAAGUGUUCCAUAUUGUA
Small nuclear RNA from Saimiri boliviensis boliviensis (Bolivian squirrel monkey), 107 nucleotides. The record is from Ensembl. Lineage: Eukaryota; Metazoa; Chordata; Mammalia; Primates; Cebidae.